Molecule: long non-coding RNA, 834 nt
Filed under: Cyanistes caeruleus (blue tit)
Lineage: Eukaryota; Metazoa; Chordata; Aves; Passeriformes; Paridae
Description: lncRNA (ENSCCEG00000006399.1)
Source: RNAcentral
GCCAAGGGAGAUAGGGCGGGGCAUCUGACCCCACCCUGCGUGGUCCAUACUGGUCCAUACUGGUUUAUACUGGUCCAUACUGGUUUAGACUGGUUUGAACUGGUUUAGACUGGUUUAUACUGGUUUAUACUGGUCCAUACUGGUCCAUACUGGUUUAUACUGGUCCAUACUGGUCCAUACUGGUUUAUACUGGUCCAUACUGGUUUAUACUGCUCCAUACUGGUUUUCCAGCCCUGGAACUGGGCCCGGAUUUGCCGUCUGGCCCCGCCCUGGCUGGUUUAUACUGGUUUAUACUGGUUUAUACUGGUUUAUACUGGUUUAUACUGGUUUAGACUGGUUUAGACUGGUUUGAACUGGUUUAUACUGGUUUAUACUGGUUUAUACUGGUUUAUACUGGUCCAUACUGGUUUAUACUGGUUCAUACUGGUUUUCCAGCCCUGGAACUGGGCCCGGAUCUGCCGUCUGGCCCCGCCCUGGCUGGUUUAUACUGGGUUAUACUGGUUUAUACUGGGUUAUACUGGUCUAUAAUGGGUUAUAUGGGGCUAUACUGGUUUGUACUGGUCCAUACUGGUUUAUACUGGUUUAUACUGGUUUAUACUGGUCCGUACUGGUUUUCCAGCCCUGGAACUGGGCCCGGAUCUGCCGUCUGGCCCCGCCCUGGCGCGCUGGCUGGGGGAGCCGGUGCGGGCCGUGCUGCUCCCCACCCGCCUCUUCCUCACCAACAAGAAAGGAUUCCCAGUGCUGGGCCGGGGCCACCAGCGCCUGCUGGGACAGCUGCUCAAGCUGGACGUGCAGAUCAUCGUGCAGGGAGCCCCCCGGCACGGCGGACGCCCC